This 497-nucleotide ribosomal RNA is filed under the name uncultured bacterium. RNAcentral's name for it is "partial 16S ribosomal RNA". It matches the Rfam family "Bacterial small subunit ribosomal RNA", at positions 28 to 507 of the family's 1533-position model. The record is from RNAcentral.
GAUGAACGCUGGCGGCGUGCCUAAUACAUGCAAGUCGAGCGAACGGACGAGAAGCUUGCUUCUCUGAUGUUAGCGGCGGACGGGUGAGUAACACGUGGAUAACCUACCUAUAAGACUGGGAUAACUUCGGGAAACCGUAGCUAAUACCGGAUAAUAUUUUGAACCGCAUGGUUCAAAAGUGAAAGACGGUCUUGCUGUCACUUAUAGAUGGAUCCGCGCUGCAUUAGCUAGUUGGUAAGGUAACGGCUUACCAAGGCAACGAUGCAUAGCCGACCUGAGAGGGUGAUCGGCCACACUGGAAGUGAGACACGGUCCAGACUCCUACGGGAGGCAGCAGUAGGGAAUCUUCCGCAAUGGGCGAAAGCCUGACGGAGCAACGCCGCGUGAGUGAUGAAGGUCUUCGGAUCGUAAAACUCUGUUAUUAGGGAAGAACAUAUGUGUAAGUAACUGUGCACAUCUUGACGGUACCUAAUCAGAAAGCCACGGCUAACUACGUG